GACGAACGCUGGCGGCGCGCUUAACACAUGCAAGUCGAACAGAAAGGCCUGCUUUCCCUUGUGGAUUGCGGGUACUCGAGUGGCGAACGGGUGAGUAACACGUGAGUGAUCUGCCCCCAACUUGGGUAUAAGCCUGGGAAACUGGGUCUAAUUCCCGAUAGGACUGCAGGGUGGUGCCUGUUGUGGAAAACGAUUUUCUAGUGGUUGGGGAUGAGCUCGCGGCCUAUCAGCUUGUUGGUGGGGUAAUGGCCUACCAAGGCGGCGACGGGUAGCCGGCCUGAGAGGGUGGACGGCCACAUUGGGACUGAGAUACGGCCCAGACUGCUACGGGAGGCAGCAGUGGGGAAUAUUGCACAAUGGGCGGAAGCCUGAUGCAGCGACGCCGCGUGGGGGAUGACGGCCUUCGGGUUGUAAACUCCUUUCGACCGCGAGGAAGCCACCUGGUUGGAAGGGUGGUGACGGUAGUGGUAGAAGAAGCACCGGCUAACUACGUG
This 494-nucleotide ribosomal RNA is filed under the name uncultured bacterium. RNAcentral's name for it is "partial 16S ribosomal RNA". It matches the Rfam family "Bacterial small subunit ribosomal RNA", at positions 28 to 507 of the family's 1533-position model. The record is from RNAcentral.